GAGUUUGAUCGUGGCUCAGAACGAACGCUGGCGGCAGGCUUAACACAUGCAAGUCGAACGCCCCGCAAGGGGAGUGGCAGACGGGUGAGUAACACGUGGGAACGUGCCCUAAGGUUUGGAAUAUUCCCGGGAAACUGGGAGCAAUACCAAAUGUGUCCGCAAGGAGAAAGAUUUAUCGCCUUAGGAUCGGCCCGCGUCAGAUUAGGUAGUUGGUGGGGUAAUGGCCUACCAAGCCGACGAUCUGUAGCUGGUCUGAGAGGACGACCAGCCACACUGGGACUGAGACACGGCCCAGACUCCUACGGGAGGCAGCAGUGGGGAAUCUUGGACAAUGGGCGCAAGCCUGAUCCAGCCAUGCCGCGUGGAUGAUGAAGGCCCUAGGGUUGUAAAAUCCUUUCGUUGGGGUACGAUAAUGACGGUACCCAAAGAAGAAGCUCCGGCUAACUUCGUGCCAGCCGCCGCCGU
RNAcentral lists this ribosomal RNA (465 nucleotides) under uncultured Alphaproteobacteria bacterium. RNAcentral describes it as "bacterial SSU rRNA". It matches the Rfam family "Bacterial small subunit ribosomal RNA", at positions 9 to 521 of the family's 1533-position model. Lineage: Bacteria; Pseudomonadati; Pseudomonadota; Alphaproteobacteria. The record is from RNAcentral.